Molecule: long non-coding RNA, 729 nt
Organism: Oreochromis aureus
Lineage: Eukaryota; Metazoa; Chordata; Actinopteri; Cichliformes; Cichlidae
Source: Ensembl
UACAGCACAGCCUCGAGUCCUUGUUUUGGAUGCCAGUGGCAGCAACAUGAGUGAAUCUGCACAAGACAUAGUGCAGACGGCAGUGAGCCUCCACCUGAACGGCACCGCAGCUUUGGAACAGCAAGACGAGAACAUGGACUCCGACCUGUUUGAUAUCAAAGUGUUUAACGUUGUGAUGAUUACUUUGGCCUUUUGUAUACUUGCCAUCACUGGCUUGUACUGCAUUGCCGUCUGCCACAACCGUUCCAGACAGUCAAAAAGAGCACAAUUAUACGAGAGCGCAGUGACCCGAGGCGAGCCGCAGAACCCCGUGGCAGUCAAAGCAGUGAAGAGAUCAACGAGUUUCAUCAACCCUCUCACCUUCUUCAGGAAACCAGAGGCACCAAAGGACAACUCCAGGAUCUAUUACAUCUACAGUAACCCGCUGCCCGUAGGAGGGAAGGACGAAGAUGAGGAGGGGGCCAGUAAACCCAGUGGGGUACCAGAGGCGCAACAGGUGCUGUCAUUGUCUCACUCGUUUCAAGAGUUCGCCAGUGAUCCCAAAAGUGGCGUCGUCCUGGACCCUCCCAUAUUUUACAUGCAGCUUUAGAGGGUGGGAAACAGUUCUAACAAGAUUAGCUAGAGGCACCUGACUCAGUCUGAAAGGUUUGAAGUUUGACACCUCCAACUAUGUACAAACUACAUCAGGGCACUACAUCAGUUGUACGACCUAGAUUCAGUCGUCUGAGA